GAUGAACGCUGGCGGCGUGCCUAACACAUGCAAGUCGAGCGAACAGAUAAGGCGUUUGCUCCUUUGACGUUAGGGGCGGACGGGUGAGUAACAUGAGUGUAACCUACCUAUAAGACUGGUAUAAUCCCGGGAAACCGGGUCCAACGCCGGAUAACAUUUAGAACCGCAUGGUUCUUAAGUGAAAGAUGGCUUUGCUAUCACUUAUAGAUGGUCCCGCGCCGUAUUAGCUAGUUGGUAGGGAAACGGCCUUCCAAGGCGACGAUUCGUAGCCGACGGGACAGGGUGAUAGCCGACACGGGAACUGGACCACGGUCCAGGCGACUAAGGGAGGCAGCAGUAGGGAAUGUGAGGCAAUAGGGGAGAACAUGACGGAGUGGGGCCGCGUGAGUGGUAGAGGUGUUCGGAUCGGAAAACCCUGUUAUGGGUGAUGAACCGAUGUGUACGGAGACGUAGACGUCUUGACGGUAACUAGUAAAGAAGCCACGGCUAACUACGUG
RNAcentral lists this ribosomal RNA (497 nucleotides) under uncultured bacterium. Its description in RNAcentral is "partial 16S ribosomal RNA". It matches the Rfam family "Bacterial small subunit ribosomal RNA", at positions 28 to 507 of the family's 1533-position model. The record is from RNAcentral.